This is a long non-coding RNA of Oncorhynchus gorbuscha (pink salmon), 2635 nucleotides long. RefSeq lists it as uncharacterized. NCBI's taxonomy places the organism in Eukaryota, Metazoa, Chordata, Actinopteri, Salmoniformes, Salmonidae. The record is from RefSeq and is a predicted model, not a curated record. The transcript has 4 exons.
UGAUCACUCUUCAUAACAUUCUGGAGUAUAUGCAAAUUUCCAUCAUACUAACUGAGGCAGCAGACUUUGAAAAUGUAUAUUUGUGUCAUUCUCAAAACUUUGGGCCACGACUGUAGGUUUCCAUCCAUUUGGUGACAGAUUUUCAUGUGAAUAUUUAAAAACUUCCGUUGAAUUUUCAACUCUACUGGUUUUGUGUGUGUGUGUGUGGGCGUGGGCGUGGGCGUGGGCGGCAGGCCAAGUACAAGGAGGCAGGGAAGCAGCAGUUCUCCACUCCUCUCUACUCAAAGCUUCCAGAGACUUUGGAGACUCAGCACGCCAAAGAGGCUUCCCAGCUACAAAGCGUGGUGGCCUAUAGGAGUAAAACGAAGCAUUACAUCUACAAUGAUGUCCUGGGAAGGUUUGAUAUCGAGCAUGCCAAUGUGGCCUCCAAACUCACUAGCCAGGAAGUGAUGUCACUGAGUAUUGCCCCUAUAUAUAGGACCUUCCACCACCUGGGAUAUGGAUGCCUGAUGACAACCUAGACGUUGAAACGUUGUUGUAAAUAAAUAUGACCUGGGAGAAUGAGCAACAGUAUGCAGUGUUUUCCUUUCUGUUUUCCAUGAGUUUGCCUACAACUCCAGAACCUGCAGAAAGUACCAGGAUGCCUCCUGCAAGCAGACAGCCCUGCUGAGGGAGAACUCGUAUUGAACAGUGUCCGAGACACAUCAGAACUACUGCACGCCGCCUACCUGAAAGCUGUCUACAGUCAGUUAGGGAUACACCACAGAAUGGGAUAUGUGCUUGGAUGGUGUGUCACACUCCCUCAACUUUAUGCAGAAGAAGUACAAGGAUGAGGCGGAGAAACUGAAGGGCUCAUAUCUGUUCGACACCCCUGAGAUUGAGAGAGUGAAGAACAACCAGAGAAACAGCUCAGUGAGGGACACAGUACACACAUACACACACUUUUAUGCAGUAUUAUCUGUCAACACAGUUACCCUUUUGCUCUACCCCUCCAGUGUCAGUACACUUGGGACUCAAAGCUGCUGAAAAGCCUGAUGUCUUCUGUCACCGACACUCCGGAAAUCAUCUUCGCCAGGGAGAACAAAGGAAAUCAGUGACAUAAGAUGUGAUCCAUUGUUCUACACAACCAUGUACCGUACAUGUAGUCGUUGGGCUGGAUGAACUCCAGUAUGUUGCUGUGAGGUUAUUGUUCAGCCUCUAGCAGAAAAGGCGGUACCUAAAUCUAUUUACUUCUUUUUCUUAUCGUAACAAGGUCUUCAACUAUCAACAAGAGGAUGAGUGAUGGUGUCAUUUGUACAAUGAGCACGUAAACAGGGCCACUGUAAUAUUGUGUGACGGCUCUGUUCCAUGUCCAGGUGAAAUACAGAGACGGGCUGGGGAGCGAGACGGUAGUCAUGGAAACUGUUGACAUGGAGAGGGUCCGCAGAAACCAGGAGAACAUCAGCUUGGUGAGAGGUUAAACCUUGUCUGACCUUUGACCUCACAGGAAGAGCUUGUUUUGAAAACAGGCCUCUCUGUUGUGUCUGCCUGUCCCUUUUCAUCUGGGUUUGUGUGGAUUUUCUACAGCUUCAAUGGUGCUAACUAAAAAUCACAAACCGCAGACACACUGAACAACCAUUCAAUCAAAUCCUGGGUUGUUAUUUUACAAUUCAACAUUUUAUUAAUUCACUCCAUUCCAUGUAAACUCCUGAAAGAUACAAGCCCACAAUGAUUUUUGUACACUAAUUUGCUCUGAAACUCUGUCCUGUCCUGCCUGACACAGACAGCCUUUCACACUGGCCCUGGUCCAGUCUAAGUCAUUACAGCCAUUAGUGGACCCUGCUGAACAAUCCCCCAUUGAGGGUGUGGAGCAGACUGAAGGGACACGGGGGCCCAGCCUGGCAGCCCAGGCAGGAUCUCUGGCGCCAUGGUGAAGGAACCGGGACACUGUUUUCACCCAGAUGCCAAUCACUAAUGAUACCCAGCAAGCUAAAUUUCUCAUGGGACGUCAUAAUGAUGUCAUUUUCUGUUUGCAAACUGGUUUUCUGGUUGCAGAGACGGAUAAACUCUGAGUUGUGAAUGUUUUAAUGUUGUGUGAAUAUUGUGUCCACAGGUGAAGCAUAAAAAGCAGCUCCAGACCCCCAGUGUGGGAGUCACCUCAGAGUUGGAGAGAGUCAGUCAGAACCAGGAGAACAUCAGCUCAGCAAGUCACAUAGGAUGCAUCUUAAAUGGCAACCUACAGUAUAUGUUAGCUCUGACCAAAAGUACUACCACUACUAUGUAGUGGAAAUGGCCUUGGUGGGAGUGUGCUUGUCAGUAUGACCACCAAUUACUUUUGAGCUAUUUUAGAUUAUUGAGAUGCAACCCGACCUACUUUUGUGUGUUGCAGGUGAAGUACCAGCGCGGGAUGAAGGAGAUGAAGGGGCGGUCCUGCGGCGGGUUGGACACGCCCGGACUGAGUAGUGUCAGGGAGUCACAGAACGACAUCUAACACAACUGAAGCGCACCACAUGUGGGACUGCUGCACUUUUAACCCGCACAGCUAAAGAGUUAACAGCAUGGCUGUUUCCUUGUUAUGAGGGAGCCAUAAUGAAUGUACUGUACUGUGUCUGUGAGCGUGUCUGUGUGCAUUACUAAUAAAGUGAUUUUUACAUGG